Molecule: ribosomal RNA, 497 nt
Filed under: uncultured bacterium
Lineage: Bacteria
Description: partial 16S ribosomal RNA
Rfam family: Bacterial small subunit ribosomal RNA
Source: RNAcentral
GAUGAACGCUGGCGGCGUGCCUAAUACAUGCAAGUCGAGCGAACGGACGAGAAGUUUGCUUCUCUGAUGUUAGCGGCGGACGGGUGAGUAACACGUGGAUAACCUACCUAUAAGACUGGGAUAACUUCGGGAAACCGGAGCUAAUACCGGAUAAUAUUUUGAACCGCAUGGUUCAAAAGUGAAAGACGGUCUUGCUGUCACUUAUAGAUGGAUCCGCGCUGCAUUAGCUAGUUGGUAAGGUAACGGCUUACCAAGGCAACGAUGCAUAGCCGACCUGAGAGGGUGAUCGGCCACACUGGAACUGAGACACGGUCCAGACUCCUACGGGAGGCAGCAGUAGGGAAUCUUCCGCAAUGGGCGAAAGCCUGACGGAGCAACGCCGCGUGAGUGAUGAAGGUCUUCGGAUCGUAAAACUCUGUUAUUAGGGAAGAACAUAUGUGUAAGUAACUGUGCACAUCUUGACGGUACCUAAUCAGAAAGCCACGGCUAACUACGUG